Molecule: non-coding RNA, 105 nt
Filed under: Candidatus Brocadia
Lineage: Bacteria; Pseudomonadati; Planctomycetota; Candidatus Brocadiia; Candidatus Brocadiales; Candidatus Brocadiaceae
Description: c-di-GMP sequence
Rfam family: c-di-GMP-I riboswitch aptamer
About the family: GEMM was predicted in a large-scale screen for bacterial structured RNA regulatory elements.
Source: RNAcentral
ACACGAUAAGGGCAAACCCGGAGUGAUCCGAGGACGCAAAGGAAAGGGUCUUUUGUGUAGAGACGCUCCGGUGGGGCGUCUUUAAAAGACAGCCUUACUGCCGAA